Molecule: ribosomal RNA, 305 nt
Filed under: uncultured bacterium
Lineage: Bacteria
Description: bacterial SSU rRNA
Rfam family: Bacterial small subunit ribosomal RNA
Source: RNAcentral
ACUCCUACGGGACGCAGCAGUGGGGAAUAUUGGACAAUGGGGGAAACCCUUAUCCAGCGACGCCGCGUGAGGGAAGAAGGUUUUCGGAUUGUAAACCUCUGUCAGUGGGGACGAUAAUGACGGUACCCACGGAGGAAGCCACGGCUAACUACGUGCCAGCAGCCGCGGUAAUACGUAGGUGGCAAGCGUUGUCCGGAUUUACUGGGUGUAAAGGGAGCGUAGGCGGCCUGGCAAGCCUGAUGUGAAAUACCGGGGCCCAACCCCGGGGCUGCAUUGGGAACUGCCAGGCUGGAGUGCCGGAGAGG